Molecule: long non-coding RNA, 1988 nt
Filed under: Bemisia tabaci
Lineage: Eukaryota; Metazoa; Arthropoda; Insecta; Hemiptera; Aleyrodidae
Description: lncRNA ENSSWEETPG011944
Source: RNAcentral
UCGCCGCAUAUUAGUUUCAGGAAUGUCUAUAAGUGAUUAUGUACAGUGAUUACUUACUUGUGUAAAUAAAAAAAAAAAAAAAAUAAAAAAAAAAAAUUAGUUUCAGGUAUGCUGGACAAAACAGCCUCAAAAAGUGACGUCAUCGGCGCCCUAGCAACUUGCAGCCCCAUUUUACUCAAAUUUAUUUCUCGACUGAGAGCAUAAUUUUGCAUGUCUCUGAAGUGCCUUUGAUAAUACAGAUUUGCCUUAAUUUUAGGUCGUCUUUCUUUUCUUUUUCCAGCUUGCUUUGCCUCAUUGAGAUCUGUGAUCAUUGUAGAUCUUUUAGGUUUAGAAAAUCUUACAAAUGCCUUUGGGUUACUUUGCCUCUUCCAAGGAGUGGCCGCAGUUUUGGAGCUCCCCUAGCAGGUCAAUUCAAAGUCAUGACGAACAGCUACGACUGCUCGUUCUACUUGUCGGGAGGGCUUCUCACCUUGUCGGCCAUCAUGAGUUACCCGCUGAAUAGGUUGAACAAAUGGGAAAAGGAACGCAACAGGCUGAAAGAGAACCUCAACUACGAGAUGAAGAGCAUCUGAAACCCGGACCUAGGAAGGGCGAUUCUUGCAAGUCGGCAACACUGUUCUUCCUCCAUCUAAGUCUAUGUAAAACAAUCCAUUCGUAUUUUUUAAAAACACAAAAUUUCUUUGAGAAAACUGACUAACUUGCGCAAUUUUUUUUAAAAAAAAGUCAGUGAGUCAGUUUUCUCAAAAAAAGUAUGAGUUUUUAAAAAUUCGAGACUUGUGUAGCCCCUUAACGGCGCACAGUGGAUCGAGUCAAGAGGAGAGGUCGGACAAAAUUUGGAAAAUUUUAACGCUUACAACUCCGUUUAAAUAAAAUUUUGAGGUUCUAAAAGUGGUUCUAUUGGUUUUCUCGUGGAAUUUUCCUCCAGUAUUACCCCUUGAAAUUUAAAAUGUGACGAAAUAAACAUCAAAAUUUGCGAUUUUAUCUAUACAUUUCAUGUCCGACCUCUCUCAUGUCUCGAUCCAUUGUGCGGCGUCCGUAGUAAUCGAUUCGUAAAUCGAUAUUAAUAAAAAAUCGAAAAUAAUAUGUGACCGGGCAUGGGAAAGGGGACUUGAGGUGAAAGGUCAAAUUAGGAGAGCAAAAACCCCCGAUCCAAGUUGAAAUGACGAAUUUUUCGUUUUUUGAUGAAAAUCGACGUCAACGCCACUACUAGCACAGUUUCAGGUUAUAAUUUGCAUAAUCAACAAAAUUAUAAGCAUUUGAUGAAAUGAACGAGGUUAGCGGCUGGCAACAGCGCACUCGCUCCAACUUGAAUUGCUUUUUUCUCAAAAUCGCGAUUUAUUGACCUCAAAGUCUGAAACGCUCUAGAAAAAUCAAUUUUAGGCGUUUCCUCCCGACAAAAUGAUGCGAAAUUACCCCCUAUGAAUGUGGUGGUAUAAUUCCUUGUUUCCCGCACGAAGGAGCAUGCCUCCAUUCCAAGGUUGCAAAUUGAAUCAAACAUUUCAAUUUUUUCACGAGCAUAAAACUGCACAAUUUGCGUCGUUUUGUCUGAUUUUCUGCAUGGGAUCAGAGGAAAAUUAGUGAAUUUAUCGGUCAGAAAUUCUCUCAGUAAAACUGUAAUUUGCGCGGAAAAAUCUGGCAACAAUGAAAUGCAGUUACGUUCUUCGCAAUAGAAACGACGACAUGUCGCAAAUUUUGUCUUUCUCGCAUCAAGUCCCAUUCCUUCAUGCCCGGUCACACGUUUAAAAAUGACUUAAAUGGAGGGAAAAACAAGUCUGAGAAUCGCCUCUGUUCUGCCGUGAUAGCGAAGAGAGCAGUUAAGGGUCUUUUCGAAAUCGAGUAUCCUUCGAAAUUCGUCUGAUCUCUGUCAAAUGAAAUCACUGAAAUAGCUAAAUCAGCGAAAAUCAUCUCAUUGUCAUGAAAAAUAGACAUAUGAGAAAGCCGUAAGUGCGCAGAGAAAUGACGUAGUUUCAGGCAAGACAGCAGUAAGU